RNAcentral lists this non-coding RNA (530 nucleotides) under Dryobates pubescens (Downy woodpecker). Its description in RNAcentral is "Picoides pubescens (downy woodpecker) Eukaryotic large subunit ribosomal RNA". It matches the Rfam family "Eukaryotic large subunit ribosomal RNA", at positions 2467 to 2992 of the family's 3401-position model. The record is from Rfam by way of RNAcentral. Lineage: Eukaryota; Metazoa; Chordata; Aves; Piciformes; Picidae.
AUGAACAGCUAAGCUUAUUCAUGCUCAUGAUUAAUGUGGUUCUUGAACAAGAGAUACAUCACUGAUCGUUUCUGCACUUACCCGGUGGGGCGGGAGGCGAGCCCCGAGCGGGACUCUCGCUUCUGGCGCCACCGCCCCGGGGACAGCGGCAGGUGGGGAGGCUGCCCGGGGCGGUCCAGCUCUCGAAGCCUGACGCUGGUGUCCUAAGGCGAGCUCAGGGAGGAGGGAAACCUGCCGUGGAGCAGAAGGGCAUCAGCUGGCUUGAUCUUGAUUUCCAGGACGAAUGUAGCCCGUGAAAGCGGAGCCUCAUGAGCCUUCUGGCUUCGGGGUUUAAGCAGGAGGUGUCAGUGAAGUUAGCAGAGGGAGAACUGGCUUGUGGCGGCCAAGCGUUCAUAGCGACGUCGCUUUUGGCUCCUUCGAUCUCGGCUCUUCCUAUCACCGUGCAGCAGAACUCACCAAGCGUUGGGCUGUUCAGCCGCUAAGAGGGAAGGUGAGCUGGGCUCAGACCGUCGCAGACAGGUUAGUUUUAC